GACGAACGCUGGCGGCGUGCUUAACACAUGCAAGUCGAACGGAAAGGCCCUGCUUUUGUGGGGUUUUCGAGUGGCGAACGGGUGAGUAACACGUGAGUAACCUUCCUUUUACUUUGGGAUAACUUCAGGAAACUGGUGCUAAUACCGGAUAGGAGCUCCUGCUGCUUGGUGGGGUUUGGAACGUUUCGGCGGUUGGGGAUGUACUCGCGGUUUACCAGCUUGUUGGUGGGGUAGUGGCUUACCAAGGCUUUGACGGGUAGCCGGCCUGAGAGGGUGACCGGCCACAUUGGGACUGAGAGACGGACCAGAGUCCUACGGGAGGCAGCAGUGGGGAAUAUUGCACAAUGGGCGGAAGCCUGAUGAAGAAACGCCGCGUGCGGGAUGAAGGCCUUCGGGGUGUAAACCGCUUUCGCCUGUGACGAAGCGUGAGUGACGUUAAUAGGUAAAGAAGCACCGGCUAACUACGUG
RNAcentral lists this ribosomal RNA (468 nucleotides) under uncultured bacterium. RNAcentral describes it as "partial 16S ribosomal RNA". It matches the Rfam family "Bacterial small subunit ribosomal RNA", at positions 28 to 507 of the family's 1533-position model. The record is from RNAcentral.